RNAcentral lists this ribosomal RNA (404 nucleotides) under Fusobacteriota bacterium. RNAcentral describes it as "Fusobacteria bacterium partial 16S ribosomal RNA". It matches the Rfam family "Bacterial small subunit ribosomal RNA", at positions 355 to 776 of the family's 1533-position model. The record is from RNAcentral. Lineage: Bacteria; Fusobacteriati; Fusobacteriota.
UGGGGAAUAUUGCACAAUGGAGGGAACUCUGAUGCAGCGACGCCGCGUGAACGAAGAAGGCUUUCGAGUCGUAAAGUUCUUUUAUAUGGGAAGAUAAUGACGGUACCAUAAGAAAAAGCCCCGGCUAACUACGUGCCAGCAGCCGCGGUAAUACGUAGGGCGCGAGCGUUGUCCGGAAUUAUUGGGCGUAAAGGGCUUGUAGGUGGCUGGUUGCGUCUGUCGUGAAAGCUCAUGGCUUAACUGUGGGUUUGCGGUGGGUACGGGCUGGCUUGAGUGCAGUAGGGGAGGCUGGAAUUCCUGGUGUAGCGGUGGGAUGAGCAGAUAUCAGGAGGAAUACCGGUGGCGAAGGCGGGUCUCUGGGCUGUUACUGACGCUGAGGAGCGAAAGCGUGGGGAGCGAACAGG